Molecule: non-coding RNA, 147 nt
Filed under: Nocardioides sp.
Lineage: Bacteria; Bacillati; Actinomycetota; Actinomycetes; Propionibacteriales; Nocardioidaceae
Source: RNAcentral
CGAGGUGCCCUGACGGCCGGCUCAUCGGAAACGUUGAGCAUGCGUCGGAGGGGAGAAUCUGGGAAGCCGGUGAAAGUCCGGCACAGGCCCGCUGCGGUGAAUCAGGCCCCUCUCGAGGGGACCUGACAAGUCCGAAGACCGGCCUCG